GGUUUGAGAGGAUGAUCCGCCACACUGGGACUGAGACACGGCCCAGACUCCUACGGGAGGCAGCAGUGGGGAAUUUUGGACAAUGGGCGCAAGCCUGAUCCAGCCAUGCCGCGUGUCUGAAGAAGGCCUUCGGGUUGUAAAGGACUUUUGUCCGGGAGCAAAUCCCAGUGGUUAAUACCUACUGGGGCUGAGAGUACCGGAAGAAUAAGCACCGGCUAACUACGUGCCAGCAGCCGCGGUAAUACGUAGGGUGCAAGCGUUAAUCGGAAUUACUGGGCGUAAAGCGUGCGCAGGCGGUUGUGCAAGUCUGAUGUGAAAGCCCCGGGCUUAACCUGGGAACGGCAUUGGAGACUG
Molecule: ribosomal RNA, 354 nt
Filed under: bacterium LimB-1-J-72
Lineage: Bacteria
Description: bacterial SSU rRNA
Rfam family: Bacterial small subunit ribosomal RNA
Source: RNAcentral